RNAcentral lists this ribosomal RNA (989 nucleotides) under Bacillus siamensis. RNAcentral's name for it is "bacterial SSU rRNA". It matches the Rfam family "Bacterial small subunit ribosomal RNA", at positions 53 to 1025 of the family's 1533-position model. Lineage: Bacteria; Bacillati; Bacillota; Bacilli; Caryophanales; Bacillaceae. The record is from RNAcentral.
ACAUGCAGUCGAGCGGACAGAUGGGAGCUUGCUCCCUGAUGUUAGCGGCGGACGGGUGAGUAACACGUGGGUAACCUGCCUGUAAGACUGGGAUAACUCCGGGAAACCGGGGCUAAUACCGGAUGGUUGUUUGAACCGCAUGGUUCAGACAUAAAAGGUGGCUUCGGCUACCACUUACAGAUGGACCCGCGGCGCAUUAGCUAGUUGGUGAGGUAACGGCUCACCAAGGCGACGAUGCGUAGCCGACCUGAGAGGGUGAUCGGCCACACUGGGACUGAGACACGGCCCAGACUCCUACGGGAGGCAGCAGUAGGGAAUCUUCCGCAAUGGACGAAAGUCUGACGGAGCAACGCCGCGUGAGUGAUGAAGGUUUUCGGAUCGUAAAGCUCUGUUGUUAGGGAAGAACAAGUGCCGUUCAAAUAGGGCGGCACCUUGACGGUACCUAACCAGAAAGCCACGGCUAACUACGUGCCAGCAGCCGCGGUAAUACGUAGGUGGCAAGCGUUGUCCGGAAUUAUUGGGCGUAAAGGGCUCGCAGGCGGUUUCUUAAGUCUGAUGUGAAAGCCCCCGGCUCAACCGGGGAGGGUCAUUGGAAACUGGGGAACUUGAGUGCAGAAGAGGAGAGUGGAAUUCCACGUGUAGCGGUGAAAUGCGUAGAGAUGUGGAGGAACACCAGUGGCGAAGGCGACUCUCUGGUCUGUAACUGACGCUGAGGAGCGAAAGCGUGGGGAGCGAACAGGAUUAGAUACCCUGGUAGUCCACGCCGUAAACGAUGAGUGCUAAGUGUUAGGGGGUUUCCGCCCCUUAGUGCUGCAGCUAACGCAUUAAGCACUCCGCCUGGGGAGUACGGUCGCAAGACUGAAACUCAAAGGAAUUGACGGGGGCCCGCACAAGCGGUGGAGCAUGUGGUUUAAUUCGAAGCAACGCGAAGAACCUUACCAGGUCNUGACAUCCUCUGACAUCCUAGAGAUAGGACGUCCCCUUCGGGG